ACGGAAGGCAGCAGUGAGGAAUAUUGGUCAAUGGGCGGAAGCCUGAACCAGCCAAGUCGCGUGAGGGAGGAAGGUCCUACGGAUUGUAAACCUCUUUAGCCGGGGAGCAAUAAGCGCUAUGUAUAGCGUGAUGAGAGUACCCGGAGAAUAAGGAUCGGCUAACUUCGUGCCAGCAGCCGCGGUAAUAUGGAGGAUCCGAGCGUUAUCCGGAUUUAUUGGGUUUAAAGGGUGCGCAGGCGGUCGAUUAAGUCAGUGGUCAAAUCGCGGUGCUCAACGCCGUUCCGCCAUUGAUACUGGUUGACUUGAUUCCGGUCGAGGCAGGCGGAAUUCGUAGUGUAGCGGUGAAAUGCAUAGAUAUUACGAAGAACUCCGAUUGCGUAGGCAGCUUGCCAGGCCGGCAAUGACGCUCAUGCACGAAAGCGCGGGGAUCGAACAGGAUUAGAUACCCUGGUA
Molecule: ribosomal RNA, 453 nt
Filed under: uncultured Porphyromonadaceae bacterium
Lineage: Bacteria; Pseudomonadati; Bacteroidota; Bacteroidia; Bacteroidales; Porphyromonadaceae
Description: partial 16S ribosomal RNA
Rfam family: Bacterial small subunit ribosomal RNA
Source: RNAcentral